Molecule: ribosomal RNA, 435 nt
Filed under: uncultured bacterium
Lineage: Bacteria
Description: partial 16S ribosomal RNA
Rfam family: Bacterial small subunit ribosomal RNA
Source: RNAcentral
AGCGAACGCUGGCGGCAGGCUUAACACAUGCAAGUCGAGCGGGCACUUUCGGGUGUCAGCGGCGGACGGGUGAGUAACGCGUGGGAACGUGCCCUCUGGUUCGGAAUAACUCAGGGAAACUUGAGCUAAUACCGGAUACGCCCUUUUGGGGAAAGGCUUGCUGCCGGAGGAUCGGCCCGCGUCUGAUUAGCUAGUUGGUGAGGUAACGGCUCACCAAGGCGACGAUCAGUAGCUGGUCUGAGAGGAUGAUCAGCCACACUGGGACUGAGACACGGCCCAGACUCCUACGGGAGGCAGCAGUGGGGAAUAUUGGACAAUGGGCGCAAGCCUGAUCCAGCCAUGCCGCGUGAGUGAUGAAGGCCUUAGGGUUGUAGAGCUCUUUUAUCCGGGACGAUAAUGACGGUACCGGAGGAAUAAGCCCCGGCUAACUUCGUG